RNAcentral lists this long non-coding RNA (385 nucleotides) under Ananas comosus (pineapple). Its description in RNAcentral is "long non-coding RNA (ACOM_LNC029357)". The record is from RNAcentral. Lineage: Eukaryota; Viridiplantae; Streptophyta; Magnoliopsida; Poales; Bromeliaceae.
UAGUAAAUUUCUGCUAAUUAUUAAAUCUAGCGGUAAUUAUCAAGUAAUGUUGUUAAAUAUAUUAAUUAGCAUAAUUUAAAUAAAUGCUGCGGAGUAAAUGCCACGGCAUUCAACAAUAAGCACCGCUAGUUUGUUACAUUUAGUAUCAUUUUUUAUAAAUGCUAAAAACUUCAAUGGCAUUCACUAAUUUACGCUGCUAAUUUAUUCUAUUUUGCAACAUUAAUAGUAAAUUACUGCUAAAUUAUUAAAUCUAACAAUAAUUAUCAAGUAACGUUGUUAAAUAUAAAAAUUACUAUGAUUUAAAUAAAUUAUGCAGAGUAAAUGCUGCUAGAUUAUGAAUUUGUUGUUGUGAAUAGAUUAGUUUGUCUUGAUAAAUGUUUAAUUG